RNAcentral lists this ribosomal RNA (296 nucleotides) under Lactobacillus helveticus MTCC 5463. RNAcentral describes it as "partial 16S ribosomal RNA". It matches the Rfam family "Bacterial small subunit ribosomal RNA", at positions 1248 to 1533 of the family's 1533-position model. Lineage: Bacteria; Bacillati; Bacillota; Bacilli; Lactobacillales; Lactobacillaceae. The record is from RNAcentral.
AGCGAGCCUGCGAAGGCAAGCGAAUCUCUGAAAGCUGUUCUCAGUUCGGACUGCAGUCUGCAACUCGACUGCACGAAGCUGGAAUCGCUAGUAAUCGCGGAUCAGAACGCCGCGGUGAAUACGUUCCCGGGCCUUGUACACACCGCCCGUCACACCAUGGAAGUCUGCAAUGCCCAAAGCCGGUGGCCUAACCUUCGGGAAGGAGCCGUCUAAGGCAGGGCAGAUGACUGGGGUGAAGUCGUAACAAGGUAGCCGUAGGAGAACCUGCGGCUGGAUCACCUCCUUUCUAAGGAAGC